GUGCUCAAUUCAGCAACACAUAUACUAAACUUAGAACAGUUCAGAGAAGACUAGUAUGGCCCUUGUGCAAGGAUGACUUAAGAUUUGCAAAGCAUUUCGUAUUUUUU
RNAcentral lists this small nuclear RNA (107 nucleotides) under Nomascus leucogenys (northern white-cheeked gibbon). Lineage: Eukaryota; Metazoa; Chordata; Mammalia; Primates; Hylobatidae. The record is from RNAcentral.